RNAcentral lists this ribosomal RNA (465 nucleotides) under uncultured bacterium. Its description in RNAcentral is "partial 16S ribosomal RNA". It matches the Rfam family "Bacterial small subunit ribosomal RNA", at positions 28 to 507 of the family's 1533-position model. The record is from RNAcentral.
GACGAACGCUGGCGGCGUGCUUAACACAUGCCAGUCGAACGGAAAGGCCCUGCUUGCAGGGUACUCGAGUGGCGAACGGGUGAGUAACACGUGGGUGAUCUGCCCUGCACUUCGGGAUAAGCCUGGGAAACUGGGUCUAAUACCGGAUAGGAGCCAUUUUUAGUGUGAUGGUUGGAAAGUUUUUUCGGUGUAGGAUGAGCUCGCGGCCUAUCAGCUUGUUGGUGGGGUAAUGGCCUACCAAGGCGGCGACGGGUAGCCGGCCUGAGAGGGUGGACGGCCACAUUGGGACUGAGAGACGGCCCAGACUCCGACGGGAGGCAGCAGUGGGGAAUAUUGCACAAUGGGCGCAAGCCUGAUGCAGCGACGCCGCGUGGGGGAUGACGGCCUUCGGGUUGUAAACUCCUUUCGCUAGGGACGAAGCUUUUUGUGACGGUACCUAGAUAAGAAGCACCGGCUAACUACGUG